CUUCUGCGGGAGCGCAUGUGGGCCUUACGUCCUCGUGUUGAUCAGCUCAGCGACUUCGUACACGCGCGCGUCCACGGCAGCGACUCAGCAAACGGGACGCACAGCGUGCAGGGUCUCCACGCACGGUAACAGGGAGGUAUCCCACACAAAAAAGGCGUCCCACCGGCCCACCCUCGCCUUAUGCACCGAUGAGCGGUGCCCCGGCAAAGAGACGUCGCCUCGACAGCGAGGAUGACGAAGACGAGUAUGUUGCACUCCGUUCGAGCUCCCCACUUCUCCAGCACGCCACGAGCGCGCGCUUCCCGACGGACGAGGUGCCCACCCUGGAAGACGGAGAGGGAGCGAGCGACGUAGCGGAGACACUAGCGAGCGGCAGGGCACCGGAUCCAGCGACAUACGUCGAGGCUGACGACCCCGCUGAGGUGGCGAGAAGCGCAGCGGACGCGUCGGCAGCAGGGCAUCUGAGCGGUGCCAUUGCGCCCAAGUCACACUUGUUUUUUGAAGAGGAUGAGGAUGUUCCUGCCGAGUACAAGGGCCUGUUCUCUGCAGAGCUGCUGAAUGUGCUCUUUGUGCCGCUUGACUACAUCUGCAAACAGAGGAGCUGCACGGAUAAGCUGCUGUCUCAGUACGCGCCGACGGAGGACACGCCGCACUCGGCAGCAGAGCGUAAACCGUACCACAACGUGUACGGGAUCGCGCCUGGGUUUCGCUGGGACGGCGUCGUGCGCGGACGUGGCCCCGUGGAUUGACACAGCGGCGCCAUUUGUAGUGCAACUGUUCAGCACCGGUCUCUCCUUACUUUGGGAGGGGGAAGGGCGCGUCUGUCUGUAUGUUUUAGCCUAGGUGGCUCUAGAAACUUACCUGCCCGUCCUCUUCCUCUUCCUCUAGAGAGGCGAAAGCGAAGGCGCAGCAGCGAGAAAUGAGCUACAGCAGUGCCUCAUGGCGCACAAGAGCCGCUGCAGUUCUUGUUCUGCCACACAAGAAGCGUUG
RNAcentral lists this unclassified non-coding RNA (990 nucleotides) under Leishmania donovani. RNAcentral describes it as "gene:LdHU3.25.0300(CDS-product:Pre-mRNA-splicing_ factor_of_RES_complex_putative)". The record is from RNAcentral. Lineage: Eukaryota; Euglenozoa; Kinetoplastea; Trypanosomatida; Trypanosomatidae.